GAUAUCAGGGACCCUGGGGAAACCAGCAGGGAGCAGAAUGAACAGGGCUAAGGGAGCAACCCAGAGUGGCUGGGUCAGGGGGCAAGGCAGAGAGGCAGACUUUUACAGCUCCCUUACCCAGCUCUGUUUCCCUUUAGAGUCUCUAAGGGCCUGUUCAAAGACGAAGAUGGAGGCCAGUGGGGAGAGGCCAAGGGAGACAGAGUCACAGGAAGAUGGAGAUUUCACAGACAUGCUUUCCCCUGCGUCAGCCUCAUCUGAGCAACAAGAUUACAGACCCACUGGGAGCAGGGAUGUGACCAUGCUUGCGUGCUCCCCUCCCACCCUGAUACAGCCCUGGGCACCUGGACAGCACUCUGGUGGACCCAGUCCAGUGUGCAGAUGAUGGCCAGGUCUGAGCAAUGGCUGGGUCCCUUACCAGCUGAGUGACCUUGUGGAGUCCCCUGACCGCUCCAAGCCUCAGUUUCCACAUCUAGAAAUUGGUGAUAUGAAAACACCUGUUUUACAGAACUGUGAAAGUCUCUUCUUGGUUAAGCCCAGACUGUCGUCCUCCAAUUGCG
Molecule: long non-coding RNA, 557 nt
Filed under: Bos indicus x Bos taurus (hybrid cattle)
Lineage: Eukaryota; Metazoa; Chordata; Mammalia; Artiodactyla; Bovidae
Description: lncRNA (ENSBIXG00000023005.1)
Source: RNAcentral